GAAAUGCGAUACGUCUUGCGAAUUGCAUUACCAGCGAGUCAUCAAACCUUUGAACGCAUCUUGCGCUUCCCUAUGGGGAGCAUAUCUGUUGGAGUAUCUGUAGAACUCUCUUGAGUCUUUCGACUCGUGGUCUCCCUCCUAUUUUAUACAGGAGUUGGAUAGAUGUUAAGGCGGUGUAAGUACUCUUCGGAGUCUUACCUGCUAGCGAUUCAGAUGUGGCGUCUAAGCCGCAAUCUCGAACAACCCUUGUCGUGUUAGUCCUGCAAUAUGGCUUCGACAAGAAUUGGCUUGCCAAAAUUCGAGACUUGUGUGUGCUUGUUCGCAUCAAAACACAACUGAGAACAGUAUGGGAAGUAUUCUUCUCGAUCAGACCUCCAAUCAGAUAAGACUACCCGCUGAA
This 400-nucleotide unclassified non-coding RNA is filed under the name uncultured fungus. Its description in RNAcentral is "sequence contains ITS1". The stretch from base 1 to 99 matches the Rfam family "5.8S ribosomal RNA", at positions 50 to 154 of the family's 154-position model. Lineage: Eukaryota; Fungi. The record is from RNAcentral.